This 1538-nucleotide ribosomal RNA is filed under the name Moraxella bovoculi. Its description in RNAcentral is "bacterial SSU rRNA". It matches the Rfam family "Bacterial small subunit ribosomal RNA". Lineage: Bacteria; Pseudomonadati; Pseudomonadota; Gammaproteobacteria; Moraxellales; Moraxellaceae. The record is from RNAcentral.
AAGAUUAAACUGAAGAGUUUGAUCAUGGCUCAGAUUGAACGCUGGCGGCAGGCUUAACACAUGCAAGUCGAACGAUGACUAUCUAGCUUGCUAGAUAUGAUUAGUGGCGAACGGGUGAGUAAUGCUUAGGAAUCUGCCUAUUAGUGGGGGAUAACCAUCCGAAAGGAUGGCUAAUACCGCAUACGUCUUACGAGAGAAAGGGGGCUUUUAGCUCUCGCUAAUAGAUGAGCCUAAGUCGGAUUAGCUAGUUGGUGGGGUAAAGGCCUACCAAGGCGACGAUCUGUAGCUGGUCUGAGAGGAUGAUCAGCCACACUGGGACUGAGACACGGCCCAGACUCCUACGGGAGGCAGCAGUGGGGAAUAUUGGACAAUGGGCGAAAGCCUGAUCCAGCCAUGCCGCGUGUGUGAAGAAGGCCUUUUGGUUGUAAAGCACUUUAAGUGGGGAGGAAAAGCUUGUGGUUAAUACCCACAAGCCCUGACGUUACCUACAGAAUAAGCACCGGCUAACUCUGUGCCAGCAGCCGCGGUAAUACAGAGGGUGCAAGCGUUAAUCGGAAUUACUGGGCGUAAAGCGAGCGUAGGUGGUCAUUUAAGUCAGAUGUGAAAGCCCCGGGCUUAACCUGGGAACUGCAUCUGAUACUGGGUGACUAGAGUAGGUGAGAGGGAAGUAGAAUUCCAGGUGUAGCGGUGAAAUGCGUAGAGAUCUGGAGGAAUACCGAUGGCGAAGGCAGCUUCCUGGCAUCAUACUGACACUGAGGUUCGAAAGCGUGGGUAGCAAACAGGAUUAGAUACCCUGGUAGUCCACGCCGUAAACGAUGUCUACCAGUCGUUGGGUCUUUUAAAGACUUAGUGACGCAGUUAACGCAAUAAGUAGACCGCCUGGGGAGUACGGCCGCAAGGUUAAAACUCAAAUGAAUUGACGGGGGCCCGCACAAGCGGUGGAGCAUGUGGUUUAAUUCGAUGCAACGCGAAGAACCUUACCUGGUCUUGACAUAGUAGGAAUCCUGCAGAGAUGCGGGAGUGCCUUCGGGAAUCUACAUACAGGUGCUGCAUGGCUGUCGUCAGCUCGUGUCGUGAGAUGUUGGGUUAAGUCCCGCAACGAGCGCAACCCUUUUCCUUAGUUACCAGCGACUCGGUCGGGAACUCUAAGGAUACUGCCAGUGACAAACUGGAGGAAGGCGGGGACGACGUCAAGUCAUCAUGGCCCUUACGACCAGGGCUACACACGUGCUACAAUGGUUGGUACAAAGGGUUGCUACACAGCGAUGUGAUGCUAAUCUCAAAAAGCCAAUCGUAGUCCGGAUUAGAGUCUGCAACUCGACUCUAUGAAGUCGGAAUCGCUAGUAAUCGCAGAUCAGAAUGCUGCGGUGAAUACGUUCCCGGGCCUUGUACACACCGCCCGUCACACCAUGGGAGUUGAUCUCACCAGAAGUGGGUAGCCUAACGCAAGAGGGCGCUCACCACGGUGGGGUCGAUGACUGGGGUGAAGUCGUAACAAGGUAGCCGUAGGGGAACCUGCGGCUGGAUCACCUCCUUAA